GUGUGUUAGUGGAAGCGUCUGGAAAGGCGCGCGAUACAGGGUGACAGCCCCGUACACAAAAAUGCACAUGCUGUGAGCUCGAUGAGUAGGGCGGGACACGUGGUAUCCUGUCUGAAUAUGGGGGGACCAUCCUCCAAGGCUAAAUACUCCUGACUGACCGAUAGUGAACCAGUACCGUGAGGGAAAGGCGAAAAGAACCCCGGCGAGGGGAGUGAAAAAGAACCUGAAACCGUGUACGUACAAGCAGUGGGAGCACGCUUAGGCGUGUGACUGCGUACCUUUUGUAUAAUGGGUCAGCGACUUAUAUUCUGUAGCAAGGUUAACCGAAUAGGGGAGCCGAAGGGAAACCGAGUCUUAACUGGGCGUUAAGUUGCAGGGUAUAGACCCGAAACCCGGUGAUCUAGCCAUGGGCAGGUUGAAGGUUGGGUAACACUAACUGGAGGACCGAACCGACUAAUGUUGAAAAAUUAGCGGAUGACUUGUGGCUGGGGGUGAAAGGCCAAUCAAACCGGGAGAUAGCUGGUUCUCCCCGAAAGCUAUUUAGGUAGCGCCUCGUGAAUUCAUCUCCGGGGGUAGAGCACUGUUUCGGCAAGGGGGUCAUCCCGACUUACCAACCCGAUGCAAACUGCGAAUACCGGAGAAUGUUAUCACGGGAGACACACGGCGGGUGCUAACGUCCGUCGUGAAGAGGGAAACAACCCAGACCGCCAGCUAAGGUCCCAAAGUCAUGGUUAAGUGGGAAACGAUGUGGGAAGGCCCAGACAGCCAGGAUGUUGGCUUAGAAGCAGCCAUCAUUUAAAGAAAGCGUAAUAGCUCACUGGUCGAGUCGGCCUGCGCGGAAGAUGUAACGGGGCUAAACCAUG
Molecule: ribosomal RNA, 863 nt
Filed under: Escherichia coli
Lineage: Bacteria; Pseudomonadati; Pseudomonadota; Gammaproteobacteria; Enterobacterales; Enterobacteriaceae
Description: partial 23S ribosomal RNA
Rfam family: Bacterial large subunit ribosomal RNA
Source: RNAcentral